RNAcentral lists this ribosomal RNA (532 nucleotides) under Bifidobacterium breve. RNAcentral describes it as "bacterial SSU rRNA". It matches the Rfam family "Bacterial small subunit ribosomal RNA", at positions 157 to 699 of the family's 1533-position model. The record is from RNAcentral. Lineage: Bacteria; Bacillati; Actinomycetota; Actinomycetes; Bifidobacteriales; Bifidobacteriaceae.
CGGGUGGUAAUGCCGGAUGCUCCAUCACACCGCAUGGUGUGUUGGGAAAGCCUUUGCGGCAUGGGAUGGGGUCGCGUCCUAUCAGCUUGAUGGCGGGGUAACGGCCCACCAUGGCUUCGACGGGUAGCCGGCCUGAGAGGGCGACCGGCCACAUUGGGACUGAGAUACGGCCCAGACUCCUACGGGAGGCAGCAGUGGGGAAUAUUGCACAAUGGGCGCAAGCCUGAUGCAGCGACGCCGCGUGAGGGAUGGAGGCCUUCGGGUUGUAAACCUCUUUUGUUAGGGAGCAAGGCACUUUGUGUUGAGUGUACCUUUCGAAUAAGCACCGGCUAACUACGUGCCAGCAGCCGCGGUAAUACGUAGGGUGCAAGCGUUAUCCGGAAUUAUUGGGCGUAAAGGGCUCGUAGGCGGUUCGUCGCGUCCGGUGUGAAAGUCCAUCGCUUAACGGUGGAUCCGCGCCGGGUACGGGCGGGCUUGAGUGCGGUAGGGGAGACUGGAAUUCCCGGUGUAACGGUGGAAUGUGUAGAUAUCG